RNAcentral lists this transfer RNA (87 nucleotides) under bacterium. RNAcentral describes it as "tRNA-Leu". It matches the Rfam family "tRNA". From Rfam's summary of the family: Transfer RNA (tRNA) molecules are approximately 80 nucleotides in length. Their secondary structure includes four short double-helical elements and three loops (D, anti-codon, and T loops). The record is from RNAcentral.
GCCGAAGUGGUGAAACUGGCAGACACGCAUGGUUCAGGACCAUGUGGAGGCAACUCCUUGGGGGUUCAAAUCCCCCCUUCGGUACCA